UGCCUAAGGAUGAGUCGGCGGCUGAUUAGGUUGUUGGUGAGGUAAAGGCUCACCAAGCCGACGAUCAGUAGGGGCCUUGAGAGAGGGAGCCCCGAGAAGGGCACUGAGACACUGGCCCUAGCCCUACGGGGUGCAGCAGGCGCGAAACCUUUACAAUGCACGAAAGUGUGAUAAGGGAAUCCUAAGUGCUUAUACAUAGUAUAGGCUUUUGUCAUGAGUAAAUAUCAUGGCGAAUAAGUGGUGGGUAAGACGGGUGCCAGCCGCCGCGGUAACACCCGCGCCACAAGUGGCAAUCAGUAUUAUUGGGCCUAAAGCGUCCGUAGCAUGAUUAAUAAAUCUUCUGUGAAAUCGUAAAGCUUGACUUUACGGCGUGCAGAAGACACUAUUAAUCUAGGAACCGGGAGGAGUUAGGAGUAUUUUUGGGGGAGUGGUAAAAUAUGAUAAUCCCAGAAAGACUACCAGUGGCGAAGGCGCCUAACUAGAACGGAUUCGACUGUGAGGGACGAAAGCCAGGGGAGCGAACCGGAUUAGAUACCCGAGUAGUCCUGGCUGUAAACUCUGCGAGCUAGGUGUUACAUGCUCUCCGAGAGCAUGUAGUGUCGAAACGAAGGUAAUAAGCUCGCCGCCUGGGAAGUACGGUCGCAAGACUGAAACUUAAAGGAAUUGGCGGGGGAGCACCACAAGGGGUGCGGCGUGCGGUUUAAUCUAAUUCAACACAGAGAAUCUCACCAGAGGCGACGGCAGAAUGAAAGUCAGGCUAAAGACCUUACUUGACGAGCCGAGAGGUAGUGCAUGGCCGCCGUCAGCUCGUGCCGUAAGGUGUCCUGUUAAGUCAGGCAACGAGCGAGACCUGUACUUACAAUUGCUAACAGCUAUUACUAGGACUGAGCACACUGUGAGGACUGCCCUGGAAACAGGGAGGAAGGUGCAGGCUACGGUAGGUCUGUAUGCUCCGAAUCUUCUGGGCUACACGCGCGCAACAAUGAUAAGGACAAUGGGCUACGACUCCGUAAGGAGAAGUUAAACCUCGAAACCUUAUCCUAGUUCAGAUUGAGGUUUGCAACUCAACCUCAUGACGAUGGAAUCCCUAGUAAUCGUGGUUCAUCAGAUCACGGUGAAUAUGUCCCUGCUCCUUGCACACACCGCCCGUCAAACCAACCGAGCAGGGUUUAGGUGAGUCUUAGUUUUUUUGACUAGUCCGAACCUAAGCUCAGUGAGGUGGGUUAAGUCGUCACAAGGUA
Molecule: ribosomal RNA, 1241 nt
Filed under: metagenome
Description: bacterial SSU rRNA
Rfam family: Archaeal small subunit ribosomal RNA
Source: RNAcentral